GAUAGGGGGGUUCCAUCUCCCAACUUGUCCAUUUUGUUGCAUAUUCUAAGGACCCAGACAUAGGCUUGGUGGCCCGUCUCUUGUCUUUCCUGGUUUAUGACUUUCGGCUUUGUGGAAUACGGCUGAGAUGAAAGGAUUUAUUGAUGAUGCAAACUACUCCGUUGGCCUGUUGGAUGAAGGAACAAACCUUGGAAAUGUUAUUGAUAACUAUGUUUAUGAACAUACCCUGACAGGGAAAAAUGCAUUUUUUGUGGGAGAUCUUGGAAAGAUUGUGAAGAAACACAGUCAAUGGCAGAAUGUAGUGGCUCAGAUAAAGCCAUUCUACACAGUGAAGUGCAACUCUGCUCCAGCUGUACUUGAGAUUUUGGCAGCUCUUGGAACUGGAUUUGCUUGUUCCAGUAAAAAUGAAAUGGCUUUAGUGCAAGAGUUGGGUGUACCUCCAGAAAACAUUAUUUACAUAAGUCCUUGCAAGCAAGUGUCUCAGAUAAAGUAUGCAGCAAAAGUUGGAGUGAAUAUCCUGACAUGUGACAAUGAAAUUGAAUUGAAGAAAAUUGCACGUAAUCACCCAAAUGCCAAGAUUGUUUUUCAUUAGGUUCACUUGAUUCAUCCGUCGCUGGAUUUGGGAGCACUGGCAACAUAAUCAACACACUUCCUACAAUCUUCAGGCUUCACAUGUGCUGAUGAUGAUGUAAACCAACUCUGCCCCAAUCAUCUCCCCUUCUCUUAGGGUCUUACUACAUAUUGCAACAGAAGAUAAUAUUGGAGGUGAAGAGGGUAACAUGAAGUUUGGCACUACCCUGAAGAACUGUAGGCAUCUCUUGGAAUGUGCUAAGGAACUUGAUGUCCAAAUAAUUGGGGUUAAGUGAGUAUUU
This 872-nucleotide small RNA is filed under the name Pan troglodytes (chimpanzee). RNAcentral describes it as "processed transcript". The record is from RNAcentral. Lineage: Eukaryota; Metazoa; Chordata; Mammalia; Primates; Hominidae.